AGCAACACGUGAGUGACCUGCCUUUUAGACUGGAACAACUUACCGAAAGGUGAGCUAAUGCCGGAUGAGUUAUAUAAGUGCAUGUUUAUAUAGGAAAAGUUGGGGAGACCUGACGCUGAAAGAUGGACUCGCGUCCCAUUAGCUAGUUGGUAGGGUAAUGGCCUACCAAGGCGACGAUGGGUAGCCGGCCUGAGAGGGUGGCCGGCCACACUGGGACUGAGACACGGCCCAGACUCCUACGGAAGGCAGCAG
This 252-nucleotide ribosomal RNA is filed under the name uncultured bacterium. RNAcentral describes it as "partial 16S ribosomal RNA". It matches the Rfam family "Bacterial small subunit ribosomal RNA", at positions 109 to 354 of the family's 1533-position model. The record is from RNAcentral.